GGCUUGCUUAACACAUGCAAGUCGAACGGGGUCCAUCCCUUCGGGGAGAAGACCUAGUGGCGAACGGGUGAGUAACACGUGGGCAACCUACCUCGGAAACCGGGAUAACAGGCGGAAACGGCUGCUAAUACCGGAUAAGCCUGUAGGGUCGCAUGGCCUAGCAGGAAAACGGUCCGCCGUUCCGAGAUAGGCCCGCGGCUGAUUAGCUUGUUGGUGGGGUAACGGCUCACCAAGGCGACGAUCAGUAGCCGAGCUGAGAGGCUGACCGGCCACACUGGGACUGAGACACGGCCCAGACUCCUACGGGAGGCAGCAGUGGG
This 320-nucleotide small RNA is filed under the name uncultured bacterium. RNAcentral describes it as "bacterial SSU rRNA". It matches the Rfam family "Bacterial small subunit ribosomal RNA", at positions 41 to 358 of the family's 1533-position model. The record is from RNAcentral.